RNAcentral lists this ribosomal RNA (434 nucleotides) under uncultured bacterium. RNAcentral's name for it is "bacterial SSU rRNA". It matches the Rfam family "Bacterial small subunit ribosomal RNA", at positions 354 to 796 of the family's 1533-position model. The record is from RNAcentral.
GUCGAGAAUAUUCGACAAUGGGCGAAAGCCUGAUCGAGCGACGCCGCGUGGAUGAAGAAGUACUUCGGUAUGUAAAAUUCUUUUCUGAGGGAUGAAUCCGCAAGGAUGACAGUACCUCAGGAAUAAGGGGGUGCAAAUUCUGUGCCAGCAGCCGCGGUAAUACAGAACCCCCAAGCGUUAUCCGGAUUUAUUGGGCGUAAAGGGUCCGUAGGUGGUUUGAUUAGUCCAAGGUUAAAUACUUCAGGCUCAACCUGGAGGGUGCUUUGGAAACGGUCAAACUUGAGGGCAUUAGGGGCUGAUGGAACGGUCGGUGUAGGGGUGAAAUCCGUUGAUAUCGACCGGAACACCAAAAGCGAAGGCAUUCAGCUGGGGUGACCCUGACACUGAGGGACGAAAGCGUGGGGAGCAAAAAGGAUUAGAUACCCUGGUAGUCC